GACAGAGGGGGCAAGCGUUGCUCGGAAUCACUGGGCGUAAAGAGUCUUCAGGUGGUUUGAAAAGUCGGGUGUUAAAGCCUAGAGCUCAACUCUAGUCCUGUACCCGAAACUUUCAGGCUUGGGAUUUGCAGAGGCAAGUAGAAUUCUGCGUGUAGGGGUAAAAUCCGUUGAUACGCAGAGGAAUACCAAAAGCGAAAGCAGCUUGCUGGGCAAUUUCUGACGCUGAGAGACGAAAGCGUGGGUAGCAAAUGGG
RNAcentral lists this ribosomal RNA (253 nucleotides) under uncultured bacterium. RNAcentral describes it as "partial 16S ribosomal RNA". It matches the Rfam family "Bacterial small subunit ribosomal RNA", at positions 524 to 776 of the family's 1533-position model. The record is from RNAcentral.